GGAGACAGAGUCCCUCCUUCACUCACUCACUCCCUCCCGGAGACAGAGUCCCUCCUUCACUCACUCACUCACUCACUCCCUCCCGGAGACAGAGUCCCUCCUUCACUCACUCACUCACUCACUCCCUCCCGGAGACAGAGUCCCUCCUUCACUCACUCACUCACUCACUCCCUCCCGGAGACAGAGUCCCUCCUUCACUCACUCACUCACUCACUCCCUCCCGGAGACAGAGUCCCUCCUUCACUCACUCACUCACUCACUCCCUCCCGGAGACAGAGUCCCUCCUUCACUCACUCACUCACUCACUCCCUCCCGGAGACAGAGUCCCUCCUUCACUCCCUCCCUGCCGGAGAGAGUCCCUCCUUCACUCACUCACUCCCUCCCUCACGGAAAGAGGGUCCCUCCUUCACUCCCUCCCUCCCGGAGAAAGUCCUUCCUUCACUCACUCCCUGCCGGAGAGUGUCCCUCCCUCAAUCCUUGUCUGCCUGCCUGCGGGAAUCUCAAUGCCGGACGUUCUGUCUGCCUCAGUCUCACUCCCUCAAUCCCAGUCUCCGUCUCUGUCCCUCUGGAGGUGAGUCACCAUCUCACACCAUCAUCAAAUAACGCGAGAUGAUCUGGAAGUCGUAGGAAACCGCUAAUUCUCGCGAGAGGAAAUCAAGCAACUUCGAAAGCUGCGCUUAGCUGUUUCACCAAACUGAUCAAAGAUGGAGUUUAUUGCCCUAACUAGUGAAAGAAAAUCUGAAUUUGAGAGAACUGGUGGCCUUUGUGCUCAAGGUUGCCUAGCAAUCCUCUCUGGAGUUCUGUUCUGUAGACCCAGGAGUCAGAAAAGCACCUGAGGAGUUGCAUAUCUCUGGAAAGCUGGACUGUAACCAUGUUCAAGAGACUUGUGUCCCCAAGUUGAUUGGAAUCAGAACUGGACAUUUAUCAUAAAUUUAUUGCUGUCAGCAAUUCAGCUUCAUUGUAAAGAAAACGUGGAUCGGAGAAGUCAUCACAUUCUGCCCUUUGUUUCAAGAUCCUUGAUCCACAGGGGUUGUUUUUCCCUUUUCCUUUUCAAAAAAAGACAUUGCAUCUGCAGAAAUUUGUCUUCUUGUGUCUUGUGAAUGUAUCUCUGGAAUAAAGGGCAUGUAAUUUUGAUUCCAGAUCAUAGCUUAGACAAUAAUGAUAAGUUUUGUUCAUAUUAAAUGUCUUAUUUUGAUUUCAUUAAAGUAACCAGAUGGAUGUUUAUUUUUGAUUGUAUUACUAAAGAGGAUCAAUGGCCAUUUUGGUAAUUGAGUCAACAUAUUUACACUCAUGGUGUGACGAAUGGUGUAGUGGGGUUUUCUUAUUAGCAUUAGCGUUAGUCAUAACACAGCAUCUUGUUAAUCACAGAUAAUCACAUUAUCUAACAUACAAAAUUUAUUUUAGAAGCUGAAUCAAAGAAGCAGUGAAACCUGAGUAGAUAAAGCAGCCUGUGAUGAACUGAAAGAUGAGUGGUACUGAAAAGAGCUGUUCAGAAAAGCAGACAUCCAGACUGCAGAUGCUGACCACGCAGCGAGGAACAUUAUUCAAUUCCAGUGGGCAAUAUACAAUGAUGUCAUUCAGGGUGCAAUGUUACUUCAGCUCUCAUUGUGCCUGCUUUGUGCUUCAUUUCAAAUGUCACGAUGAUGGGAAGAAGCAGCAAAACCAGGAGAGAGUUUCCUUCCACAAUAAAAAAAUUAGGAGCUUUCCUGGAGCCUCACGGAGAAUCUUGGGCCCUAGGCUUCCUUCCACCGAUUAGGUUGGACCUUUUUUCUUUCCAUUUAUGUAUGUUCUCUAUCUUCAUUGUUAUUAUUGUGAUAUUAUUUAUGAGUUUGUAGUUUUUAUUUGUUCUUGCUUAUAUCCAGUAAUUAGUUAUAUCUUUGGCCUUCAAUAUUGAAUAUUGUUUCGAUAUGCUGAUAACUGUGUCUGACUUCAGUGAGCAAAGAAUUAGUUGUCUUUAAAACAACUUGCAAAAAUACAUCCUGAUCAUUAUUCCUUCUUUUGGAAUGUUAUCCUGGUUCUC
This is a long non-coding RNA of Stegostoma tigrinum, 2020 nucleotides long. RefSeq lists it as uncharacterized. Lineage: Eukaryota; Metazoa; Chordata; Chondrichthyes; Orectolobiformes; Stegostomatidae. The record is from RefSeq and is a predicted model, not a curated record. The transcript has 3 exons.